GGCGUAGGGGGCGAGCGUUGCCCGGAUUCACUGGGCGUAAAGCGCGUGUAGGCGGUCUGUUAAGUCGGAUGUGAAAGCUCCGGGCUCAACUCGGAAAUUGCAUCCGAUACUGGCAGACUUGAGGACGGUAGAGGUCGGUGGAAUACCAGGUGUACCGGUGAAAUGGGCAGAUAUCAGGAGGAACACCGGUGGCGAAGGCGGGUCUCUGGGCAGUAACUGACGCUGGAGGAGCGAAAGCCGUGGGGAGCGAACAGG
RNAcentral lists this ribosomal RNA (255 nucleotides) under uncultured bacterium. RNAcentral's name for it is "partial 16S ribosomal RNA". It matches the Rfam family "Bacterial small subunit ribosomal RNA", at positions 524 to 776 of the family's 1533-position model. The record is from RNAcentral.